UUCCGGUUGAUCCUGCGGAGGCUACUGCUAUUGGAAUCCGAUUAAGCCAUGCGAGUCUAAAGGACUUCGGUCCUUGGCGGACGGCUCAGUAACACGUGGAGAACCUGCCCUCAGGAGGGGGAUAACCCCGGGAAACUGGGAAUAAUACCCCACAGGUCUAGGAUGCUGGAAUGCUUCUAGGCUGAAAGCUCCGGCGCCUGAGGAUGGCUCUGCGGCUUAUCAGGUUGUAGUGAGGGUAACGUCCUCACUAGCCUAUGACGGGUACGGGCCCUGAGAGGGGAAGCCCGGAGAUGGACUCUGAGACACGAGUCCAGGCCCUACGGGGCGCAGCAGGCGCGAAAACUCCGCAAUGCUCGAAAGAGUGACGGGGGGAUUCCAAGUGCCUACGCUCAGCGUAGGCUGUUCAGAUGCCUAAAAAGCAUCUGGAGUAAGGGCUGGGUAAGACGGGUGCCAGCCGCCGCGGUAAUACCCGCAGCUCGAGUGGUAGUCGAUUUUAUUGGGCCUAAAGCGUCCGUAUCCGGUCUGGUAAAUGCUUGGGUAAAUCGUGGGGCUCAACCCUACGAAUUCCGGGUAGACUGCCAGACUUGGGACCGGUUGAGGAAGAGGGUACUUUAGGGGUAGGAGUGAAAUCCUGUAAUCCUUGAAGGACCACCAGUGGCGAAGGCGCUCUUCUAGGACGGGUCCGACGGUGAGGGACGAAAGCCAGGGGAGCAAACCGGAUUAGAUACCCGGGUAGUCCUGGCCGUAAACGAUGUGGGCUUGGCAUUGGGGGUUCUACGUGAGCGCCCAGUGCCGUAGCGAAGGCGUUAAGCCCACCGCCUGGGAAGUAUGGUCGCAAGGCUGAAACUUAAAGGAAUUGGCGGGGGAGCACAGCAACGGGAGGAGCGUUGCGGUUAAUUUGGUUCACGCCGGGAAU
Molecule: ribosomal RNA, 916 nt
Filed under: uncultured archaeon
Lineage: Archaea
Description: bacterial SSU rRNA
Rfam family: Archaeal small subunit ribosomal RNA
Source: RNAcentral